GGCGAAAUGCAACGAGGGAGACAAAAGGAGGAAAAAUCUGAGGUGGCGAGGGGCCCUCAAUGACCCUCGUUCAGCGUCCAGCCCAGCAGUCACUGGGAGACGCAACACCUCUGUGGAGGUCGUUGGCAAGAGGAAGGUCGCCACUGCUGAGGCAGGACCAAGCAGAAAGAGACAAAGACUGGUCAGUGAGGACCGGAAACAAGACAAACAAGAUGACGCUACAAGCUCAUCAGUCGAAGAUUCGUCAUCCGACGACGGCAGAAUCCCAAGAAAGAGGGUUCGAAGCAAUCAGGGCCUUGACGACAACGUCAGAGCGGCACUGCUCGCCCCGUGCAAAGGUCCCCAAAGCCCCGCGCAAAGCAUCAUUGUGACUCGAGCAACGGCGAAAUGCAACGAGGGAGACAAAAGGAGGAAAAAUCUGAGGGGGCGAGAGGCCCUCAAUGACCCUUGUUCAGCGUCCAGCCCAGCAGUCACUGGGAGCCGCAACACCUCUGUGGAGGUCGUUGGCAAGAGAGGCGACAAGAGGAAGGUCGCCACUUCUGAGGCAGGACCAAGCAGAAAGAGACAAAGACUGGUCAGUGAGGACCACA
Molecule: long non-coding RNA, 590 nt
Organism: Pungitius pungitius (ninespine stickleback)
Lineage: Eukaryota; Metazoa; Chordata; Actinopteri; Perciformes; Gasterosteidae
Exons: 4
Source: RefSeq, a predicted model, not a curated record